RNAcentral lists this ribosomal RNA (1324 nucleotides) under uncultured bacterium. RNAcentral describes it as "bacterial SSU rRNA". It matches the Rfam family "Bacterial small subunit ribosomal RNA", at positions 67 to 1386 of the family's 1533-position model. The record is from RNAcentral.
GGGCAGCAUGUCGGUUGCUUGCAACCGACGAUGGCGACCGGCGCCCGGGUGAGUAACGCGUAUCCAACCUACCCUUGUCCAUCGGAUAACCCGUCGAAAGGCGGCCUAACACGAUAUGCGGUUCACCGCAGGCAUCUAACGUGAACGAAAUGUGAAGGAGAAGGAUGGGGAUGCGUCUGAUUAGCUUGUUGGCGGGGUAACGGCCCACCAAGGCAACGAUCAGUAGGGGUUCUGAGAGGAAGGUCCCCCACAUUGGAACUGAGACACGGUCCAAACUCCUACGGGAGGCAGCAGUGAGGAAUAUUGGUCAAUGGACGAGAGUCUGAACCAGCCAAGUAGCGUGCAGGAAGACGGCCCUAUGGGUUGUAAACUGCUUUUAUAGGGGGAUAAAGUGUGCCACGUGUGGCAUAUUGCAGGUACCCUAUGAAUAAGGAUCAGCUAACUCCGUGCCAGCAGCCGCGGUAAUACGGAGGAUCCGAGCGUUAUCCGGAUUUAUUGGGUUUAAAGGGAGCGUAGGCGGAUGCUUAAGUCAGUUGUGAAAGUUUGCGGCUCAACCGUAAAAUUGCAGUUGAUACUGGGUGUCUUGAGUACAGUAGAGGUAGGCGGAAUUCGUGGUGUAGCGGUGAAAUGCUUAGAUAUCACGAAGAACUCCGAUUGCGAAGGCAGCCUGCUGGACUGUAACUGACGCUGAUGCUCGAAAGUGUGGGUAUCAAACAGGAUUAGAUACCCUGGUAGUCCACACAGUAAACGAUGAAUAGCUUGCUGUUAGCGAAAUACAGUAAGCGGUCAAGCGAAAGCGUUAAGUAUUCCAAGUGGGGAGGUACGCCGGCAUCGGUGAGACUCAAAGGAAUUGCCGGGGGCCCGCACAAGCGGAGGAACAUGUGGUUUAAUUCGAUGAUACGCGAGGAACCUUACCCGGGCUUGAAUAGCAACUGAAUGAUGUGGAAACAUGUCAGCCGCAAGGCAGUUGUGAAGGUGCUGCAUGGUUGUCGUCAGCUCGUGCCGUGAGGUGUCGGCUUAAGUGCCAUAACGAGCGCAACCCUUAUCGAUAGUUACCAUCAGGUCAUGCUGGGGACUCUGUCGAGACUGCCGUCGUAAGAUGUGAGGAAGGUGGGGAUGACGUCAAAUCAGCACGGCCCUUACGUCCGGGGCUACACACGUGUUACAAUGGGGGGUACAGAAGGCAGCUACACGGCGACGUGAUGCUAAUCCCUAAAGCCUCUCUCAGUUCGGAUUGGAGUCUGCAACCCGACUCCAUGAAGCUGGAUUCGCUAGUAAUCGCGCAUCAGCCACGGCGCGGUGAAUACGUAACCGGGCCUUGCAC